Cebus imitator (Panamanian white-faced capuchin) is the source of this 312-nucleotide unclassified non-coding RNA. Its record names the gene 7SK. It matches the Rfam family "7SK RNA". From Rfam's summary of the family: 7SK was discovered as an abundant small nuclear RNA in the mid-70s but a possible function has only recently been suggested. Two independent studies have found that 7SK RNA binds the CDK9/cyclin T complex (known as elongation factor P-TEFb). P-TEFb activates transcription by phosphorylating the C-terminal domain of RNA polymerase II. Lineage: Eukaryota; Metazoa; Chordata; Mammalia; Primates; Cebidae. The record is from Ensembl.
UGAUGUAAGAAUAAUCUGGCUACAACAUCUGUCACUCCAUGCUUACCAGUAUUGAUUGGGCUCAGCUUGCUGGCUGGGCUAGAAUCCUAUUUUUGCCCCAAAACUCCUUGUAUGUCACCUCCCAAACCUGCACACUUGAGCUGAGAGGGCACAUUUCCAGGGAGAGAAUUUCUGAUUUUUGAUAAGAGACAUAGGGAGGCCACCACUUCUACUACACACUUGAAACAAGUUGGCAGGUUCCGCUUGGCAUCGAACUGCAACUACUAAGAAUGUGGUCAUUCUUUUAUUUACAUUUGCUCAGUGUUUUUUUGA